This 460-nucleotide ribosomal RNA is filed under the name uncultured bacterium. Its description in RNAcentral is "partial 16S ribosomal RNA". It matches the Rfam family "Bacterial small subunit ribosomal RNA", at positions 338 to 795 of the family's 1533-position model. The record is from RNAcentral.
CCUACGGGGGACAGCAGUGAGGAAUAUUGGUCAAUGGACGAGAGUCUGAACCAGCCAAGUAGCGUGAAGGAUGACUGCCCUAUGGGUUGUAAACUUCUUUUAUAAAGGAAUAAAACGAGGCACGUGUGCCUUUUUGCAUGUACUUUAUGAAUAAGGAUCGGCUAACUCCGUGCCAGCAGCCGCGGUAAUACGGAGGAUCCGAGCGUUAUCCGGAUUUAUUGGGUUUAAAGGGGGCGUAGAUGGGUUGUUAAGUCAGUUGUGAAAGUUUGCGGCUCAACCGUAAAAUUGCAAUUGAUACUGGCAGUCUAGAGUACAGGUGAGGUAGGCGGAAUUCGUGGUGUAGCGGUGAAAUGCUUAGAUAUCACGAAGAACCCCGAUUGCGAAGGCAGCUUACUAAACUGUGACUGACAUUGAUGCUCGAAAGUGUGGGUAUCAAACAGGAUUAGAUACCCUGGUAGUC